UCCCUCUGAAACUUUUUGAGCAGAGGGAUGGGGCUGUCUUUCUGCUGCAGGCCCGGGGCGACCUUUCAUUGAUUUCUUGGAUGCGCAGUGGGAGUGUGAGGGGGACCUGGUUCGAGUCAGCACUGAAACCCUUACCCCCCGAGAGCUUCUGAUCUACCAGCACGGCCAGUUUCUUCUCCAGCUGCUCCACUCACACAAAAUGAUUCCAGCAGUUAAACUACAGCUGGCCUCAAGUCUUCCAGCAAACGAUUAUGUCUGCAACGCCUUCCGCAAUUCCUUUUAUUACCAGGAGACAGAAGAGACACUAUAUGUUCGUCAUCAGAGGCUACAGUCUGUAGGAGGAUUUUCUCUGCUGCUCCUGCACUGUUCUGCUCACAUCUCCACCGGUCAGCUGAGUGUCGACACCACUCCCGGGUUCCAGAGGGCCUUCUUCAAGGUGCUACAAGAGUGUCUAAGUGAGCUGUUCGAUGCCAGACUGGCCCCUGAUUGGCUGGAAGGGAAGACACAAAGUGGAGCGGGCAGCAGCUCUGCUUUUAAUGGCCUCCUGCUGGAGAGGGUUCAGAAACCCAGCCAAGGGAUCCUGUCUGAGGACGUGAGUGCAGUUUAUUUAAUGAGACCUGUGGCUCGAUGUCCUGCUAGUUGUUGGCCGGUGAUUUGAGGGGCUUUAGGAUGAGCUAGGAACAUAGACUAUAUAUAUAAGUAUGAACAGCAUGAUAGGAGCUGUAAAGUAAUGCCACUACGUCUCUUACGCCCUCUGGUGGCUGGCUCCAGUAUGACUUUUAACCCCGCCUAUUUCCAUUUAACUGAAUGAGAGAUGGAGAAAUCUUUAAUCUAAAAUUACACAUCCCGGAUUUUAUUUUUGGGAAGUUGGGUUUUGUACGUUCUGUAAGCCCCCCUCCUGUGUUAAUAAAUAACCCCCAGUGUUUUUCUGUACA
Molecule: long non-coding RNA, 935 nt
Filed under: Astyanax mexicanus (Mexican tetra)
Lineage: Eukaryota; Metazoa; Chordata; Actinopteri; Characiformes; Acestrorhamphidae
Description: lncRNA (ENSAMXG00005007185.1)
Source: RNAcentral